This 327-nucleotide unclassified non-coding RNA is filed under the name uncultured Lactarius. RNAcentral's name for it is "sequence contains ITS2". The record is from RNAcentral. Lineage: Eukaryota; Fungi; Basidiomycota; Agaricomycetes; Russulales; Russulaceae.
AACGCACCUUGCGCCCCUUGGUAUUCCGAGGGGCACACCCGUUUGAGUGUCGUGAAAAUCUCAACCUUCUUGGUUUCUUUUGAACGCCAAGGAGGCUUGGACUUUGGAGGGCUUUGCUGGACUUGAAAGGUCAGCUCCUCUCAAAUGAAUUAGCGAGGUCCCCUUUGCCGAUCCUCGACGUGUGAUAAGAUGCUUCCACGUCUCGGUCUUUGGCUCUGUCGCCUCUUGGGACCUGCUUCCAAUCGUCUCUCGAUGAGACAACGUUCGAGCAUGCCUCGACCACGUACCCUUGACCUCAAAUCGGGUGAGACUACCCGCUGAACUUAA